AUGGGCAAUGGCUCCUGGGAUGGGAAAGCAUUGGGAUGGGAAGUCUUGAAUGGGGUGGGUACCAUUCCCUGGGGAAGGAAAUACUUGGGAAAGUCCUCCAAGAGAGGGGAAUUCUUUGGGACGAGAUCUCUUUGGAUGAAGAAACGCUUCGUGUUGAUGGGAAAUCUUUUGUAUGGGAAUCUGUUAUCUUGUGAACUUGUCAGGAUGGGAAAUGACCAUGAGGAUGAAAGCUGGUACUGGGGUGGGAAAUGCUCAGGCCGGGAAGAGGCAGUGUGGAAGCAUCAUGGGCAUGGCAAGUGCUGCAUGGGAGGGCAAGCCUGCUGGGGAUGGCCAAGUCUUGCGCUGGGCAGCCUGCUUGGGUCCGAAGCCUGCAGUCCUCCCCAAGAUGUCGGCGAGGGGCUGGUCAGCCGUUGGGAUGGAACCCCCAUUGCGCGGGUUCCCCAAGCAACCGCCCCACUCUCCAGCCACCAUGGCAGGUCCAGCAGCCGGCUCCCGCUCCUCCCGGGGCUGUGGCCCUGCUGGCGAGCCCAGCGCCCCAGAGCUCAGCCCAGCGCCCUUUUUCCCACAGAGGGUUUCCCCAGAUGGCUUCCGCGGGUUGCGCAGAGGCAAAACUCCCCCUUCGUCGUCGCAGCCGUGCCGCCAACGGUGGCUGCCUGGCUGCUGCCCUCCCUCCCCGGAGCGACGGCGGUGCCCUUGCAGCCCCUGCAGCGGCGACACUUGCAGAGGUGCCUGAGGAGCCCCUGGAGCUGCUGGAGCUGGGCCCCGAUGCCUUCGCCGAGGCCUUUCCCCAGCUGGCAGGGGACAGCCAGCAGCUGCAGCACGUGCAGGACCAGCUCCCGGCGGACCUGGACAGCUCCGGCUUGGAGGAGCUGCUCAGCUGCCUGGAUGCCGUGGAGCCCCAGGACGCCUUCGCCGCUGUCCCCAGCAGUUCUAUCCUCAAGCACUUCCUCUCGCAGCUGCCCGACCUCUGCGAGGACAUCGAGGAGCCGAGCACACAGGGACUGGCAGCCACCAGAGCGCUGGGUGAGGUCCCCUCAAGCCCUGGGCUGCACCCCGACAAGGUGCAGGCUGGGCGGGCGCUGCAGCCCCCUGCAGCUGCUGUGCCGCCACUCAGCUCCCCCCUCAAGCCUGCAGCCCGGCCCCAGCUCAGGAGAGCCCUGCCCAAAAGGCCCCCCCCAGCAGGAAUUCAUCCCUGCCCGCAGGAGAACCCUGCCCCAGCCUCCCUUGGCUCCCCUCAAGAGGCCCCCUGACCCUGACUGGCUCCCUGCCCGCAGGAGACCCCUGCCCCAGCCUCCCUUGGCUCCCCUCAAGAGGCCUCAACUUCUCCCAGCCCUGAGGAGAGCCCUGCCCAGUCCCCCUCACAGUCCCCUCCAGAGCCCCCUGCCUGCCCCUGCGCCCACCGGCACCAAGUGGGGGGCCAAGCGCCCCGCGCCCACUGGCACCCCCAGCACAGCGCAGAGCUCCCAGCACAGGAGGCCGACGACGGACAAGACCCCCGACAAGGAGAAGACUGCUGCUGGGCCAGGCUGGCCAAGGCCCCAAGACGCUGUGCCAGGGUAAGACGGGUGGCCACAGCACGCUGGCUGGCAGCAGCAGCCAAGCGGGCAGUGGCAGGCAGCAGCUGGCGAGCGACAGCACCAGGGCGUCCAGCAAGAGAGCGCGAAGCCCGGGGGCUGCUGGGGGGCAAGGAGCAGCAGCGCCGUCUCUUCGCAGAACGCUGCUGCUGCCGGAACCCCUCCCCAUGAAGCCCCGUGCCCGUGCCUGUGCCAUGCGGCCCCAGGACAGGCUCCGGCCCCAAGCCAGUGGGGCCAAGACGCUGCAGCGCCAGCAGCCGGAGACAAAGACCCCCAGCGAGACUUUGCAGCUGCUGGGGGCCAGGGCCAAGGCGCUGGGGCCAGUGCACCAGCCACCCUGUGUGCAGCCGCAGCCCACCUCCAGCGGCCCCAGCAGCAUGCCCAGGGCCCGGCCGACGCUGCCAGGCUCCAGCGCUGCGCCCGCUGCCCCCCAGCCCCCAGC
Molecule: long non-coding RNA, 2016 nt
Filed under: Anas platyrhynchos platyrhynchos (common mallard)
Lineage: Eukaryota; Metazoa; Chordata; Aves; Anseriformes; Anatidae
Description: lncRNA (ENSAPLG00000018149.1)
Source: RNAcentral